Molecule: ribosomal RNA, 443 nt
Filed under: uncultured bacterium
Lineage: Bacteria
Description: partial 16S ribosomal RNA
Rfam family: Bacterial small subunit ribosomal RNA
Source: RNAcentral
CCUACGGGUGGCAGCAGUGGGGAAUAUUGGGCAAUGGGCGCAAGCCUGACCCAGCAACGCCGCGUGAAGGAAGAAGGCUCUCGGGUUUUAAACUUCUUUUAUCAGGGACGAAGCAAGUGACGGUACCUGAUGAUUAAGCCACGGAUAACUACGUGCCAGCAGCCGCGGUAAUACGUAGGUGGCAAGCGUUAUCCGGAUUUACUGGGUGUAAAGGGCGUGUAGGCGGGAGUGCAAGUCAGAUGUGAAAACUAUGGGCUCAACCCAUAGCCUGCAUUUGAAACUGGACUUCUUGAGUGCUGGAGAGGCAAUCGGAAUUCGGUGUGUAGCGGUGAAAUGCGUAGAUAUACGGAGGAACACCAGUGGCGAAGGCGGAUUGCUAGACAGUAACUGACGCUGAGGCGCGAAAGCGUGGGGAGCAAACAGGAUUAGAUACCCCGGUAGUC